CAAAAACAUUUCCUCUUAGGAUAAGAGGUAAGGCCUGCUCACUGAUAAUUUAAAGAGCCGCAGUAUCCUAACUGUGCUAAGGUAGCAUAAUCAUUAGUCUUUUAAUUGGAGACUGGUAUGAAUGGCUAAACGAGAAAUUGACUUUUUUUACUAUACAAAUUGAACUUAAUUUUUUAGUGAAAAAGCUAAAAUGUUUCAGAAAGACGAGAAGACCCUAUAGAGUUUUAUAUUAACUUAAAUUUUUUCUCAGUAGAUUUUCAAAGAAUAAUUUUAAUAAAAUAUUUUGUUGGGGCGACAUUAAGAUACAAAAAACUCUUUAUUUUUUUCACUUUUAUAAAAGAAUUAUAUGACCCUCUAUAAGGGAUCAAAAGAAAAAAUUACCUUAGGGAUAACAGCGUAAUCUUUUUUGAGAGUUCUAAUCGACAAAAAGGUUUGCGACCUCGAUGUUGGACUAAAAUUUAGGCAGGGUGCAGCAGUUCUGCUUUUAGGUCUGUUCGACCUAUAAUA
RNAcentral lists this ribosomal RNA (507 nucleotides) under Cantellius pallidus. RNAcentral's name for it is "partial 16S ribosomal RNA". It matches the Rfam family "Bacterial large subunit ribosomal RNA", at positions 1808 to 2593 of the family's 2925-position model. The record is from RNAcentral. Lineage: Eukaryota; Metazoa; Arthropoda; Thecostraca; Balanomorpha; Pyrgomatidae.